UACGUAGGGGGCGAGCGUUGUCCGGAUUUAUUGGGCGUAAAGAGCGCGUAGGCGGCCUGCCAAGUCGUGCGUGAAAUACCCCGGCUCAACCGGGGGGAGUCGUGCGAUACUGGUGGGCUCGAGGCCGGCAGGGGGAAGCGGAAUUCCCGGUGUAGUGGUGGAAUGCGUAGAUAUCGGGAGGAACACCAGUGGCGAAGGCGGCUUCCUGGACCGGUCCUGACGCUGAGGCGCGAAAGCGUGGGGAGCGAAC
This 250-nucleotide ribosomal RNA is filed under the name uncultured bacterium. Its description in RNAcentral is "partial 16S ribosomal RNA". It matches the Rfam family "Bacterial small subunit ribosomal RNA", at positions 524 to 773 of the family's 1533-position model. The record is from RNAcentral.